UCUCUUCAAUAAACAUUCGAC
This is a non-coding RNA of Caenorhabditis elegans, 21 nucleotides long. NCBI's taxonomy places the organism in Eukaryota, Metazoa, Nematoda, Chromadorea, Rhabditida, Rhabditidae. The record is from Ensembl.